GGCUCAGGACGAACGCUGGCGGCGUGCCUAAUACAUGCAAGUCGAGCGAAUCGAYGGGAGCUUGCUCCCUGAGAUUAGCGGCGGACGGGUGAGUAACACGUGGGCAACCUGCCUAUAAGACUGGGAUAACUUCGGGAAACCGGAGCUAAUACCGGAUACGUUCUUUUCUCGCAUGAGAGAAGAUGGAAAGACGGUUUACGCUGUCACUUAUAGAUGGGCCCGCGGCGCAUUAGCUAGUUGGUGAGGUAAUGGCUCACCAAGGCGACGAUGCGUAGCCGACCUGAGAGGGUGAUCGGCCACACUGGGACUGAGACACGGCCCAGACUCCUACGGGAGGCAGCAGUAGGGAAUCUUCCGCAAUGGACGAAAGUCUGACGGAGCAACGCCGCGUGAACGAAGAAGGCCUUCGGGUCGUAAAGUUCUGUUGUUAGGGAAGAACAAGUACCAGAGUAACUGCUGGUACCUGAC
RNAcentral lists this ribosomal RNA (468 nucleotides) under Bacillus sp. R-45842. RNAcentral's name for it is "bacterial SSU rRNA". It matches the Rfam family "Bacterial small subunit ribosomal RNA", at positions 21 to 483 of the family's 1533-position model. The record is from RNAcentral. Lineage: Bacteria; Bacillati; Bacillota; Bacilli; Caryophanales; Bacillaceae.